Molecule: ribosomal RNA, 253 nt
Filed under: uncultured bacterium
Lineage: Bacteria
Description: partial 16S ribosomal RNA
Rfam family: Bacterial small subunit ribosomal RNA
Source: RNAcentral
UACAGAGGUGGCAAGCGUUGUUCGGAAUUACUGGGCGUAAAGGGCGAGUAGGCGGCCUCCUAAGUCAGACGUGAAAUCCCCCGGCUUAACCUGGGAACUGCGUCUGAUACUGGAAGGCUCGAGUUUGGGAGAGGGAUGUGGAAUUCCAGGUGUAGCGGUGAAAUGCGUAGAUAUCUGGAGGAACACCGGUGGCGAAGGCGGCAUCCUGGACCAACACUGACGCUGAGGCGCGAAAGCUAGGGGAGCAAACGGG